ACCAAGAGAAUGCCAGAGAUUCAAACCCAGUGCCCUAAUACUUUUGAGCUACUGAAUCUGAUCCAGGACAGCUUGCCUUUGGACACUGACUAGAAACCUGUAUUUCUUAAGUGCCUAAGAUCCCUGGUGCCAAGACACUUGGGGACCUCUGAUCCACAGGACCUAACAGCACCCACAGCACAUGAUGCUGACUCCAAGGGGACUCCCUAAUAACCUUUCCUCAUGCAGAUCUCCAUGUGAGUCAACUUCCUGAAGAAUCCCACCUGUGACAGGUUGUAAGAAAAUGAACUGAACUAUUUUAAGUGAGACUUUGUGAAGCUACGUGUGCCUUGGGCAACAAGUUUCAGGCAAAAGCAUUUUUUUUUUCUAUUCUGCAAUAGUCACCCAUUAUAGAAAAAAAAUCUUGCAAUAGCUUUGAGAUAUUACACCUUUUUACGGUAGGGUUUGAUCUUGGCUCCUUUUUCCCUUAUAGAAAAUCAUGGACAAUACCUUGCCACUUUUCCAAUAUGCUCUAAAUUCUCAGUAGUUGGAGACUUUGUUUUUUCCAUCUUGGAAACCACAUAUUUUAUAAAGCCUUGUACACAGCAGAUGUAUGAUGAAUAAGUUGGUGACUGACUGUAUUAGUGAAGUAAUGAACAAAUGAAUAUAAGAGUCUAGCUCAUGAAGCAUUUUUUUUUACCCUGAAUGAAUUUUUCAAGGUAUACAAUUAUGCAAAGACACUGAAAUUAAAAUACUAAAAUAAUAACAGUCUGGAGGCUCUCCUGCACAAAAGAAAUCUUUAGCCAUUGGAAGGUAGCACAGUUUUAGAAAAGGAAUUAUAAAAAAGGAGAAUUGGCAGCAACGCCGGACUUCUGAAAGAAAGAUCAUGUAAUAUACAAGCACUUAAGCAAGCAAUUAUGCCACGUCGCAAAAGGCUGUUUUGAUGUGCUACUUGAGAGUGCUAUUUCAUGUUGACCUUUGCGUUAGAAGAUGUGGCUGCCUACAGC
This is a long non-coding RNA of Pan troglodytes (chimpanzee), 986 nucleotides long. RefSeq lists it as uncharacterized. The transcript has 3 exons. Lineage: Eukaryota; Metazoa; Chordata; Mammalia; Primates; Hominidae. The record is from RefSeq and is a predicted model, not a curated record.